CGCAAGUGGACUGACUCAGUCCCAGUCUGUUUCUACUUAAGUAGUCUCUGGGUUUUUCGUUUGCUUGUUUGUUUGUUUUUGUGAAGCACAGGUGAAACUGAGAAGUGGACAGAGGAGGCCAGAGACCGCAUGGAGCUUCCUGAGUCUUGACAUUCCAAGAAUACCCUCAACUGGUCCUCUCCUUUUUUCGAAAAACGUGACAAGCCUGUAAGACUAAGGGAAAGAGUAAAGCAGUUUCUGUUCAUUGUACGCUGGACAAAUUCCGAGUGGAUUCUGCAAUACUGAAUUAGCAUAGAGGACUUUCUGGAGGGAGAGAAGUGGACACUGUUCUUGACAGCUAUACUCAAUAUAUACUCACUACUUGGAAAGUAUGCUAUUGCAACGUUCUCCUUCUGGAUUCCCAGGCUGUGCAAAGUUCCCUUGGCUUAAAGUCUAUUUUUCUCUUCCAUUAGAAACCAGGAAAGCAAAUGCACACUGGCAGCUUCUCACUAUGGACCAAUCAAAUGUUUCCCAUUUGAGUCUCGCAGUACUGUAAGAAGACUUAAGUCCCACGGUGAGCCAGUGACUUAUCAGUUCAUACUCGCUGGAGUCAGAGGUCAGAAGAACAUAAGCCAACAACCCCUGGUUAUUCUCUGAAAUCUCCAUGAUGGCACUGGCUCUGCACAGGGCAGAGUUAGGAUACAAACCAGUGUGGUGUAGAUGUAUGGGUAGUGACUCUGGUUUACCUCCAGAUACAUUCUUGGGCACCCUAGUUGUCUUUUAUCAGAAAAGCCACAACUGACUCUAAGGCCAGCAUAAGAACAAAAGACAGAAGAAAACAUGGAGUCAGAAACUUGAAGUUACUGCGGGGAGGAAUAUCAGACAUUGAGGUUUCACUAACUGCCAAGCCAUGGGAUGUAACAUCGAAGAAAAUCUAAAAGUGUGUCAUGCCAGCUUGCCCUUCAACUGGAGCUCUGUGAGGCUGGAGCCACAACUGUAUUUCCGGGUAUAUCCCCACUCCUUGUGCUGGUGUGUGGGCACCUUCCCACCCAUCCCAGAAAGGAAGGCGAGGGGACUGAUGCAAUUCGUGGACUGAUCUUCCUAACAACACAAGUCAGCUUCAUGUUGAGCAUUCCUGGAGAACAAAAGUGUUUUUGCUGCCAAGAUGUCAGGUUCUUUUUAGAGAGCUAAAAAUUAUACACAUCAGAAUUUCUAAAAUAAACGCUGAAUCUGAACCUUCCAGGCAGUGUUCUUGUUUUUCUCCCUGAGCUAUCAAAGAACAAAUUUGUUCCUUCCUUUAUUAAUAAGUUUGUUGGAAAUCUGUUGUGCCAGCCCAUGACUAUUUUCCAGGAAAGCAGAUUAAUGCUAGAUUAUGAAAAUAAAUGAUAACAUAUUUACUGUGAGAACUAAUGAUAUCCUGAGUGCUAAGACAGUACACACUGCUUCUUCCAAGACUGGCAGGUAUGUUUCUGAAGUUGACUUCACUUCAGCGGAAGACACUCUGAGCUUACGUGACUGUGGGCUGCCCAACAUUGCAAAGAUACCAGCCUUGGCAGCAGCGUAUUUAGUACAACUCCAGUUGUGGAAACACUACUGUCACAUUAAAGAAAGGAUUCUUCCUGCCGUGUUGACAAGGAGUAGUGGAAUGGCAAGGCACCAGAAACUGUGGAGACCCAUACUCUUGUCUCAUUUCUGUCUUGCCUGCCUGUAGCCAGGUGGUGCUUUGAAGCCAUCCCAGCUUGUUUAUGAAUAACUCUAUGCUACUGGCCUUUGCUUAAAGUCUGCCUUAAGGACUUUUUCU
Heterocephalus glaber (naked mole-rat) is the source of this 1780-nucleotide long non-coding RNA. Lineage: Eukaryota; Metazoa; Chordata; Mammalia; Rodentia; Bathyergidae. The record is from Ensembl.